GAUGAAUGCUGGCGGCGUGCCUAACACAUGCAAGUCGAGCGGCAGCGAGUUUUACACUGAAUUCUGGAAGCUUCUGAGUAGUACAGAAGAUUUAUUCAAGAGUUUUGUGUAAAAUGUCGGCGAGCGGCGGACGGCUGAGUAACGCGUAGGAAUUUGCCCCAAAGUGAGGAAUAACUGCCCGAAAGGGUAGCUAAUGCCGCAUACGGUCUUCGGAUUAAAGCCUUCGGGCGCUUUGGGAGAAGCCUGCGUUGGAUUAGGUAGUUGGUAGGGUAAUGGCCUACCAAGCCGACGAUCCAUAGCUGGUCUGAGAGGAUGAUCAGCCAGACUGGAACUGAGACACGGUCCAGACUCCUACGGGAGGCAGCAGUGAGGAAUCUUCCACAAUGGGCGAAAGCCUGAUGGAGCAACGCCGCGUGAAGGAUGAAGGCCUUCGGGUUGUAAACUUCUUUUAUGAGUGAAGAAUAUGACGGUAACUCAUGAAUAAGCACCGGCUAACUACGUG
Molecule: ribosomal RNA, 502 nt
Filed under: uncultured bacterium
Lineage: Bacteria
Description: partial 16S ribosomal RNA
Rfam family: Bacterial small subunit ribosomal RNA
Source: RNAcentral